GGAGCCCGCGACCUACGAAUGUUGGGUCGGGGUGCUCAGAUGGCGGAGACACUGGCAAGUUUUCCCUCGGCAACGGCCGGGUUCCUUCUAGUACAGCUGCCUUCGGGUGGUGGGAACGAAGCCCUGGUGCGGCUGAGGAAGAAUGUAAGCACCCUGUUGGGUCCUGAAAGAACAACCAGUGGUUGUUGUUUCAGAGACGUCGCUGGCCCUCCUUGGUGGGGGCUGGGAGUCUGCCAGGCAUGGCCUGGCCCUACAUACCGCCAACUGGUGUUGGGUUUGGUGUGGGGCGGAUCGGGUUGUGGGUUGGU
Molecule: unclassified non-coding RNA, 308 nt
Filed under: Micromonospora sp.
Lineage: Bacteria; Bacillati; Actinomycetota; Actinomycetes; Micromonosporales; Micromonosporaceae
Description: partial 16S-23S ribosomal RNA intergenic spacer
Source: RNAcentral